ACACCUCAACUCUUCAUGGUUCGCUAUGAUGAGCUUGGACUUUGGGGGUCUUGCUGGCCUAUGGUUGGCUCCUCUCAAACGGAUCAGCUUACCAGUGUUUGGUGGCAUCACAGGUGUGAUAAAUAUCUAUGCUUGUGGUUUCCACCAUAUAGCCUUCAGCGAUGAAGGUUCUCUGGAGCUCACAAAUGUCCCUCCUCAGCGAGGACAGCUUUUGAAC
RNAcentral lists this unclassified non-coding RNA (217 nucleotides) under uncultured Thelephoraceae. RNAcentral describes it as "sequence contains ITS2". Lineage: Eukaryota; Fungi; Basidiomycota; Agaricomycetes; Thelephorales; Thelephoraceae. The record is from RNAcentral.